GACAGAAAGGGCAACCCAUCGGAGUUAUGAAUUGGUGUAAAGGGUACGUAGCCGGUAACGUCAAGUUACUAGAGUCCAAUAGAAGUAAGAACAAUACCUAGAGUAGGGCUGAUAUCUCAUAAUACUAGGGGGAGAGCUAAUGGCGAAAGCAUCUUACUAGGUAAGGACUGACGGUAAGGUACGAAGGCUAGGGCAUGAAUAGGG
This 204-nucleotide ribosomal RNA is filed under the name uncultured bacterium. Its description in RNAcentral is "partial 16S ribosomal RNA". It matches the Rfam family "Bacterial small subunit ribosomal RNA", at positions 524 to 776 of the family's 1533-position model. The record is from RNAcentral.